RNAcentral lists this ribosomal RNA (301 nucleotides) under uncultured bacterium. RNAcentral's name for it is "partial 16S ribosomal RNA". It matches the Rfam family "Bacterial small subunit ribosomal RNA", at positions 509 to 807 of the family's 1533-position model. The record is from RNAcentral.
CAGCAGCCGCGGUAAUACGGAGGGGGCUAGCGUUGUUCGGAAUUACUGGGCGUAAAGCGCACGUAGGCGGCUUUGCAAGUUAGAGGUGAAAGCCUGGAGCUCAACUCCAGAAUUGCCUUUAAGACUGCAUCGCUUGAACGUCGGAGAGGUGAGUGGAAUUCCGAGUGUAGAGGUGAAAUUCGUAGAUAUUCGGAGGAACACCAGUGGCGAAGGCGGCUCACUGGACGACUGUUGACGCUGAGGUGCGAAAGCGUGGGAAGCAAACAGGAUUAGAUACCCCGGUAGUCCCUGUCUCUUAUAC